This 259-nucleotide ribosomal RNA is filed under the name uncultured bacterium. Its description in RNAcentral is "partial 16S ribosomal RNA". It matches the Rfam family "Bacterial small subunit ribosomal RNA", at positions 793 to 1055 of the family's 1533-position model. The record is from RNAcentral.
GUCCACGCCCUAAACGAUGAUCACUCGAUGUGUGCGAUACACUGUACGCGUCUGAGCGAAAGCAUUAAGUGAUCCACCUGGGGAGUACGACCGCAAGGUUGAAACUCAAAGGAAUUGACUGGGGCCCCGCACAAGCGGAGGAGCAUGUGGUUUAAUUCGAUGAUACGCGAGGAACCUUACCAGGGCUUGAAAGUUAGUGAAGGAUGUGGAAACAUGUCCGUCAGCAAUGACACGAAACUAGGUGCUGCAUGGCUGUCGU